This 383-nucleotide unclassified non-coding RNA is filed under the name soil metagenome. Its description in RNAcentral is "partial contains 5.8S ribosomal RNA, internal transcribed spacer 2, and large subunit ribosomal RNA". The stretch from base 1 to 120 matches the Rfam family "5.8S ribosomal RNA", at positions 35 to 154 of the family's 154-position model. The record is from RNAcentral.
GAUGAAGAACGUAGCGAAAUGCGAUAAGUAAUGUGAAUUGCAGAAUUCAGUGAAUCAUCGAAUCUUUGAACGCACCUUGCGCUCCUUGGUAUUCCGAGGAGCAUGCCUGUUUGAGUGUCAUGAAAUUCUCAACCUUUCUGGCUUUUGCUAGUCAGGCUUGGAUUAUGGGAGCUGCUGGCUUUUGAAGUCGGCACUUCUAAAAUGUAUUAGCAAGAUCAUUGCUGCUCAUCAUUGGUAUGAUAAUUAUCUAUAUCAUUGAGAGUCAGUUUCCUUUAUUGGAAGAUUUUGCUCCUAACGGUCUUUAGCAAGACAACAUUUGACGAUUUUGACCUCAAAUCAGGUAGGACUACCCGCUGAACUUAAGCAUAUCAAUAAGCGGAGGA